AGCGAGUUUCGCCUCCAUCACGGCGUUUCCUGAAGUCGUUGCGUCMUACGCACCGAUGGAAAGAUUCGUUGUUGCAUCUCUACUGUCGAGAUUCUAAUGUUGCUUAGAUAUUGUUCAUGUUUUCGUGGGAUUGGUUUACGAGAAUCAAAACCGAUUGGUAUAUGUUCGCAUAUACGAUCGUUUCCUUUCUCGCUAGACACCAACGUCUGCGUA
RNAcentral lists this unclassified non-coding RNA (213 nucleotides) under Caenorhabditis briggsae. RNAcentral describes it as "partial external transcribed spacer". The record is from RNAcentral. Lineage: Eukaryota; Metazoa; Nematoda; Chromadorea; Rhabditida; Rhabditidae.